Molecule: long non-coding RNA, 2113 nt
Organism: Zea mays
Lineage: Eukaryota; Viridiplantae; Streptophyta; Magnoliopsida; Poales; Poaceae
Exons: 3
Source: RefSeq, a predicted model, not a curated record
UCCAUCUCUCCCGUAUGUUCCUUCUCUCCUAGACUGUAUGGUGUGAGAUCUCAUGUGGUGUAGUUACUUGCAGGCAGGUGAGUUCGCUGGCAUGGCAUGGAUUUGGAUGGGGAUCCGGUUGGCAGCUCGUCGGACGUGGUAGCCCCUCUCAGCUCGUAGAUUUCCCCCACUUGCAUCACCGAGUUGCACUACAACACCAGUGCCAUUGGACCAAACCUGUUCCAUUGAGAUGAGGGUAUUCAGAGGACGGAGGCAACAACACAAUUUGAUUGGGAUUCUAUGGUAGUUUCUGAUGUUCUAGAGAAAGAAGGAAGAGUAGAAGUACCAUGUGAAAAUGAGAUAUAUUGUAAUAUUGGACUCAAUAAAGAGGUCGAGGCUGAGAACAGUAGAAGAGAUGAAUUUUAUAGAUAUGGUUCAACUUGUAAUGUGCAAGAAAUUAGGGAUAUUGACAAGGAUGACCACCAUGUUGAUCAGCCAUGUGAAGACUUUCUUCCAGAUCAGAAGAGGGUGGUGUACGAUAGGAUGAAUCCUUCUAUGUAGCUAGGUUGUUUGUUUCCUAACAUGAAAUAAUUCAGGAUUGAUAUGCGUCAAUAUGCAAUAAAGUAUGAGUUGGAGCUUGGAAUUGAUGUUACUUUGACAACCAAAUAUGUUGGCUAUUGUAAGGGUGGUGAUUGUCCUUGGAGGAUCUAUGCACGCGAAGAAAAGAAAUGAUUGCCUACUAUUGUGGUUGUUGUACUAGACGAUGUGCACACUUGCACAUUUAGUGGAAGGAGGAAGACUACUACGUCUACCAGUGGUUGGGUUGCAUUCCACGCUCUAUCUUUGCUCAUGAAGAAACACCAAAUGGGUGCUAAAGAGUUGCAAGAAACACAACAGGGCAGUCAUAAUGUCACUAUUGGGUACAAUACAGUUUGGAAGGGCAAAGAGAAAGCGUUGAAAGAGUAGUAUGUGUCUUGGGAGGAAAGCUUCUAGCUCUUGUUCUCUUGGAGGGAGGUUGUACUUGCAAAGUUGCCUGACAAUGUUGUUGAUGCUUUUGUGGAAGAUGGAAAGUACUAUUUGAAAGAGAAAUGUGCCCUUGGGCCAUUUCUAAGUAUUUUAGUGAUUGAGUGCCAACACAAGUGGUCAUGUGUUAAUCUAUGCCAAAUGAUGGACAAAGUGAAAAUCAACAUAAAGGUAUGUUUCUAAGACUUAGUACUUUGUUUUAAGGACUAAUGUAUUGUGUCUAAGUACUGGAAACAGGAGAAAUCAAUUUGGAAAAGAGAUGGCUUUGUUCAGCCAAAGACAAUUCAGUCUGGGAGCACCGGACUGUCCGGUGGUGCACCGGACAGUGUCCGGUGUGCCAGGCUGGCUCUGGCGAACUGGCUGCUCUCGGGUUUCGUCGGCGGUGUACGGCUAUAAAUCACCGGACUAUCCGGUGGUGCACCGGACUGUCCGGUGAGCCAACGGUCGGCCGAGCUAACGGUCGACCGCGCAAUCCGCGCGUGACGUGUGGCCGGCCCAACGGUCUGAAGGGGGCACCGGACAGUGUCCGGUGCGCCAACGGCUCCAAAUCGCCAACGGUCGGCUGCGCCAAAACAGGAAAGAAAUCCGCACCGGAUAGUGUCCGGUGGUGCACCGGACUGUCCGGUGCGCCAGUCGACAGAAGGCAAGAAUUGCCUUCCUGGAAUGCUCUCAACGGCUCCUAGCUGCCUAGGGGCUAUAAAAGGGACCCCUAGGCGCAUGGAGGAGAACAUAAAGCAUCCUUUGAGCAUUGUUGAUCAUUCACACUCCAUUUUGGCGCACUUGUUCGACAUUCUUAGUGAUUUGAGCGCCGUUCUAGUGAGAACCUCGUGAUAUUCUUUUGAGCUCAAGUCUUGGCCUUGUGUGUGCGUAUUUGCUGUGAAUUUGAGUGUGUUGCUUCCCUCUCUUACUCUAGUGCUUCAUUUUGAUUCUUAUUGUAAGGGCGAGAGACUCUGAGUUGUGGAGAUUCCUCGCAAACGGGAAAGAGUAAAGUAAAGAAGAACACCGUGGUAUUCAAGUUGAUCAUUGGAUCACUUGAGAGGAGUUGAGUGCAACUCUCGUCCGUUGGGACGCCACAACGUGGAGUAGGCAAGUUUUAUACUUGGCCGAACCA